UCUCUGGACACGCCCCCUCUAGUCAGAAUCCGUGCUAGAAACGAUGAUGUUGGUGUCGCACAUUAGACUUGUGUUUAAAUAGAGCUUUGCUCGUGAACCAAAUAUGGUGGGCUGGGUUGUCUUUGCGGAAACGCUUGGGCGACUUGUCUACGAAUUGUAAUCAUAAUAUGGGCGGCGGUGAAUCCUUUGCAGACGACUUGAAUGGGAACGGGGUACUGUAAGUGGUAGAGUAGCCUUGUUGCUACGAUCCACUGAGGUUAAGCCCUUGUUCUAAAGAUUUGUUCAACUUUGUUGGACUUUCUCUUUUCUUUUUACAUGCUGAGACCUUGAGGGCCGGGAUAGUAUCCUUUGUGCACUCGCGACAGCAUGUUACUUAGAUUCGAAAGGGUAGGCUAGCAACAACGCCUUAGUGUUUUGUUACCUUUCUCUUUUGAAUCACGAGUUAUUAUGAGCCCUGAAGGCUUAUAAGGCACUUAUUUAGCAAGCUCUAACCGUGCGCUGACUUGGAACGGUCUUUACCUUGUACUUGAUAUCGACCUUAUGGCCGAUAUCCCGUAUAUGGUAUAGCCAAGAUCCUUGAAAGGGCGAGUCAACGACUGAUUUUCUGGAUCGUUAGUGAGCCUGAGGGCCUGCCCUAAGGUUGCCAUGAUUGAAAAGUCUGAAGACGCUAAAGUCGGAAUCCUUCCUAGACCCGAUGAGCCGGGUCUCCCACAUUAGAAGUGUGUGAAAAUAGAGUUUUGCUCGUGAACCACAUCCGUGUGCUGGGUUGUAGUUGCGGAAACUAAACCGUGAGUCAUGUCCGAUUUGUAACAAUUAUAGGGGCGGUAGGGAGUCUUUUCCAGACGACGCGAAUAAAACGAGGUGGAACAAGUGCGAGAACUGAG
RNAcentral lists this unclassified non-coding RNA (884 nucleotides) under Armillaria gallica. The record is from RNAcentral. Lineage: Eukaryota; Fungi; Basidiomycota; Agaricomycetes; Agaricales; Physalacriaceae.